This 388-nucleotide ribosomal RNA is filed under the name uncultured bacterium. Its description in RNAcentral is "bacterial SSU rRNA". It matches the Rfam family "Bacterial small subunit ribosomal RNA", at positions 28 to 417 of the family's 1533-position model. The record is from RNAcentral.
GACGAACGCUGGCGGCGUGCUUAACACAUGCAAGUCGAGCGGUAAGGCCCUUUCGGGGGUACACGAGCGGCGAACGGGUGAGUAACACGUGGGUGGCCUGCCCUCAGCUCUGGGAUAAGCCUGGGAAACCGGGUCUAAUACCGGAUAUGACUCCAUGACGCAUGUUGUGGGGUGGAAAGCCUUGUGCAGCUGAGGAUGGGCCCGCGGCCUAUCAGCUUGUUGGUGGGGUGANGGCCUACCAAGGCGACGACGGGUAGCCGGCCUGAGAGGGCGACCGGCCACACUGGGACUGAGACACGGCCCAGACUCCUACGGGAGGCAGCAGUGGGGAAUCUUGCGCAAUGGGCGAAAGCCUGACGCAGCGACGCCGCGUGAGGGAUGACGGCCU